This 560-nucleotide small RNA is filed under the name Pan troglodytes (chimpanzee). RNAcentral describes it as "processed transcript". Lineage: Eukaryota; Metazoa; Chordata; Mammalia; Primates; Hominidae. The record is from RNAcentral.
UAUACUCUGUUAUUUUUUUCUGAUUUCAUCUGUUACACCAAGCAUUACCAAAGGCAUCCCGUUCUACUUCCACUAGCUUCCUGUGAUAGCCGUCAUCUCCUCCGUGUAAAAUAUCACUUGUACUUCGAUCUGUUUUAAAAUUUCUCAUUUUGCAUUUCAAGCUCCCAGUCAGCCACCAGGAAAUGUUGUUUGGAAUGCCACAGACACUAAAGUGUUACUUAAUUGGGAGCAAGUUAAAGCCAUGGAGAAUGAGUCAGAAGUAACAGGAUAUAAAGUUUUCUAUAGGACUAGCAGUCAAAAUAACGUACAAGUGCUGAACACAAAUAAAACUUCAGCUGAACUUGUGCUGCCCAUUAAAGAGGACUACAUUAUUGAAGUCAAGGCCACAACAGAUGGAGGGGAUGGGACCAGUAGUGAACAGAUCAGGAUUCCACGAAUAACCAGUAUGGAUGCAAGAGGAUCCACUUCAGCCAUCUCAAAUGUCCACCCUAUGUCAAGUUAUAUGCCUAUAGUACUGUUCUUAAUUGUAUAUGCCCUGUGGUGAUAUUAACUCCUUUUUA